This 29-nucleotide small RNA is filed under the name Bombyx mori (domestic silkworm). RNAcentral describes it as "ovarian small RNA-2085". The record is from RNAcentral. Lineage: Eukaryota; Metazoa; Arthropoda; Insecta; Lepidoptera; Bombycidae.
UCGCAGUGGGGGUUCAGUCUUUAAAAAGA